Molecule: ribosomal RNA, 295 nt
Filed under: uncultured bacterium
Lineage: Bacteria
Description: partial 16S ribosomal RNA
Rfam family: Bacterial small subunit ribosomal RNA
Source: RNAcentral
GCCUACGGGGGGCAGCAGUGGGGAAUAUUGCACAAUGGGGGAAACCCUGAUGCAGCAACGCCGCGUGAGUGAAGAAGGUUUUCGGAUUGUAAAGCUCUGUUAGCAGGGAAGAGGAAGGACGGUACCUGCAGAGGAAGCCACGGCUAACUACGUGCCAGCAGCCGCGGUAAUAUGUAGGGGGCAAGCGUUAUCCGGAAUUACUGGGUGUAAAGGGAGCGUAGACGGUUAAGUAAGUCUGGAGUGAAAGGCCGGGGCCCAACCCCGGGACUGCUCUGGACACUAUUUAACUUGAGUG